GGAUUGUAGCUCAGUGGUAGAGCACUUGCCUCGCAUGUGUGAGGCACUGGGUUCGAUCCUCGGCACCA
Molecule: transfer RNA, 68 nt
Filed under: Marmota monax (woodchuck)
Lineage: Eukaryota; Metazoa; Chordata; Mammalia; Rodentia; Sciuridae
Description: tRNA.Ala
Rfam family: tRNA (bases 5-65)
About the family: Transfer RNA (tRNA) molecules are approximately 80 nucleotides in length.
Source: RNAcentral